AAUAGAUACCCUGGUAGUCCACGCCCUAAACGAUGAUAACUCGAUGUUGGCGAUAGACAGCCAGCGUCCCAGCGAAAGCGUUAAGUUAUCCGCCUGGGGAGUACGCCCGCAAGGGUGAAACUCAAAGGAAUUGACGGGGGCCCGCACAAGCGGAGGAGCAUGUGGUUUAAUUCGAUGAUACGCGAGGAACCUUACCCGGGCUUGAAAGUUAGUGAAGGAUGCAGAGACGCAUCCGUCCUUCGGGACACGAAACUAGGUGCUGCAUGGCUGUCGUCAGCUCGUGCCGUGAGGUGUUGGGUUAAGUCCCGCAACGAGCGCAACCCUAUGUUUAGUUGCCAGCAUGUAGUGGUGGGGACUCUAAACAGACUGCCUGUGCAAACAGAGAGGAAGGUGGGGACGACGUCAAGUCAUCAUGGCCCUUACGUCCGGGGCUACACACGUGCUACAAUGGAUGGUACAGCGGGCAGCUACAUAGCAAUAUGAUGCUAAUCUCUAAAAGCCAUUCACAGUUCGGAUUGGGGU
RNAcentral lists this ribosomal RNA (522 nucleotides) under uncultured bacterium. RNAcentral describes it as "bacterial SSU rRNA". It matches the Rfam family "Bacterial small subunit ribosomal RNA", at positions 777 to 1304 of the family's 1533-position model. The record is from RNAcentral.